UGCCCGGUGGUGUAGUGGUAGCACAGGGGACUUUGGAUCCCCUGACCCUGGUUCGAAUCCAGGCCGGGCAGCCA
RNAcentral lists this transfer RNA (74 nucleotides) under Dehalococcoidia bacterium. RNAcentral describes it as "tRNA-Gln". It matches the Rfam family "tRNA". From Rfam's summary of the family: Transfer RNA (tRNA) molecules are approximately 80 nucleotides in length. The record is from RNAcentral. Lineage: Bacteria; Bacillati; Chloroflexota; Dehalococcoidia.